Molecule: ribosomal RNA, 707 nt
Filed under: uncultured bacterium
Lineage: Bacteria
Description: bacterial SSU rRNA
Rfam family: Bacterial small subunit ribosomal RNA
Source: RNAcentral
AGAGUUUGAUCCUGGCUCAGAGUGAACGCUGGCGGUAGGCCUAACACAUGCAAGUCGAACGGCAGCACAGGAGAGCUUGCUCUCUGGGUGGCGAGUGGCGGACGGGUGAGGAAUACAUCGGAAUCUACUCUGUCGUGGGGGAUAACGUAGGGAAACUUACGCUAAUACCGCAUACGACCUACGGGUGAAAGCAGGGGACCUUCGGGCCUUGCGCGAUUGAAUGAGCCGAUGUCGGAUUAGCUAGUUGGCGGGGUAAAGGCCCACCAAGGCGACGAUCCGUAGCUGGUCUGAGAGGAUGAUCAGCCACAAUGGAACUGAGACACGGUCCAUACUCCUACGGGAGGCAGCAGUGGGGAAUUUUACACAAUGGGGGAAACCCUGAUGUAGCGACACCGCGUGAGCGAAGAAGCCUUUUGGGGUGUAAAGCUCUGUCAGCAGGGACGAAAAAAAUGACGGUACCUGCAGAGGAAGCAUCGGCUAACUACGUGCCAGCAGCCGCGGUAAGACGUAGGAUGCAAGCGUUGUCCGGAUUUAUUGGGCGUAAAGAGUUCGUAGGUGGUUUGUUAAGUCUGAUGUUAAAGACUGGGGCUCAACCUCGGAAAUGCAAUGGAUACUGGCAGACUCGAGUGCAGUAGAGGCAAGUGGAAUUCCAGGUGUAGCGGUGAAAUGCGUAGAUAUCUGGAAGAACACCGGUGGCGCAAGCGACU